RNAcentral lists this transfer RNA (81 nucleotides) under Euglena viridis. RNAcentral's name for it is "tRNA-Leu". It matches the Rfam family "tRNA". Rfam says of the family: Transfer RNA (tRNA) molecules are approximately 80 nucleotides in length. Their secondary structure includes four short double-helical elements and three loops (D, anti-codon, and T loops). Further hydrogen bonds mediate the characteristic L-shaped molecular structure. tRNAs have two regions of fundamental functional importance: the anti-codon, which is responsible for specific mRNA codon recognition, and the 3' end, to which the tRNAs corresponding amino acid is attached (by aminoacyl-tRNA synthetases). tRNAs cope with the degeneracy of the genetic code in two manners: having more than one tRNA (with a specific anti-codon) for a particular amino acid; and 'wobble' base-pairing, i.e. permitting non-standard base-pairing at the 3rd anti-codon position. The record is from RNAcentral. Lineage: Eukaryota; Euglenozoa; Euglenophyceae; Euglenales; Euglenaceae.
ACCUUCGUGGUGAAAUGGUAGACACAUGUGAUUCAAAAUCAUAUAUCAAAAGAUGUACCGGUUCAAAUCCGGUCGAGGGUA